Molecule: long non-coding RNA, 935 nt
Organism: Cornus florida
Lineage: Eukaryota; Viridiplantae; Streptophyta; Magnoliopsida; Cornales; Cornaceae
Exons: 6
Source: RefSeq, a predicted model, not a curated record
UUUGUUACAGAGUUUACAACCUUUUUGAAUCCCACUCUUUUGUAUUUGAGAUAUCUAUUCAUGUGAUUUCAACUAGCAGUAAUGCUCACUGAUGAAUCACCAUAGAUUUUCUGUUAAUAAUGCUCAUCUUGCAGGUUGGCUUCGAUAUAGUUCGAAUGCUACGACUCAUGUAGAGGGAAAGAGUGCCAUUUCUCAGCCUUUAAACUACCCUAGUUGGAGUCAGCCGAAGCAUUGCAAUAUGGUCUACAAUGCGAGUAAUUAUACCGAUUAUCUUUUUAAGUGAUGUAUCUUUUAUUUAAAGACAAAUAUUUAUUUGGGCCUAGAGGGUGGGCAGAAACAUGAUCCCAGAAUAGAGUGGCUAUAUUAGUAUAAAUAUCAUUUAUAGGCAUUAUAGUAGGUUUUGGGAAGUCUUUCAUUUGCCAAAGAAAUGGUCCCCUUUGCACUUUUGUUCUCUAGACGGAGUGAGAGAACUGUUUUUGGUUGGCUUCGAUAUAGUUCGAAUGCUACGACUCAUGUAGAGGGAAAGAGUGCCAUUUCUCAGCCUUUAAACUACCCUAGUUGGAGUCAGCCGAAGCAUUGCAAUAUGGUCUACAAUGCGAGUAAUUAUACCGAUUAUCUUUUUAAGUGAUGUAUCUUUUAUUUAAAGACAAAUAUUUAUUUGGGCCUAGAGGGUGGGCAGAAACAUGAUCCCAGAAUAGAGUGGCUAUAUUAGUAUAAAUAUCAUUUAUAGGCAUUAUAGUAGGUUUUGGGAAGUCUUUCAUUUGCCAAAGAAAUGGUCCCCUUUGCACUUUUGUUCUCUAGACGGAGUGAGAGAACUGUUUUUGGUUGGCUUCGAUAUAGUUCGAAUGCUACGACUCAUGUAGAGGGAAAGAGUGCCAUUUCUCAGCCUUUAAACUACCCUAGUUGGAGUCAGCCGAAGCAUUGCAAUAUGGUCU